UGCAUAGGUUGUUAAAGCUGCUUAAUUGUAGCGCACAGAGAUGGGCCUGCGUUCCAUUAGCUUGUUGGCGGGUUAAGAGCCCACCAAGGCGACGAUGGAUAGCUGAUCUGAGAGGGUGAUCAGCCACACUGGGACUGAGAUACGGCCCAGACUCCUACGGGAGGCAGCAGUGAGGAAUAUUGCGCAAUGGGCGAAAGCCUGACGCAGCAACGCCGCGUGGGGGAUGACGCACUAUGGUGUGUAAACCUCUGUAGGUAGGGAAGAACGGCAUGGUUUCGUAAGGGGUCAUGCAUGACGGUACCUAUAAAGUAAGCUCCGGCUAACUCCGUGCCAGCAGCCGCGGUAAUACGGGGGGAGCGAGCGUUGUCCGGAAUUACUGGGCGUAAAGGGCGUGUAGGCGGCCGGGUAAGUCAGAUGUGAAAGCCUUCCGCUUAACGGAAGAACGGCAUUUGAUACUGUCCGGCUUGAGUGCGAGAGGGGGUAGUGGAAUUCCCAGUGUAGCGGUGAAAUGCGUAGAUAUUGGGAGGAACACCCGUAGCGAAGGCGGCUACCUGGCUCGUAACUGACGCUAAGGCGCGAAAGCGUGGGGAGCAAACAGGAUUAGAUACCCUGGUAGUCCACGCCGUAAACGAUGGGUACUAGAUGUUGG
This 649-nucleotide ribosomal RNA is filed under the name uncultured bacterium. RNAcentral's name for it is "bacterial SSU rRNA". It matches the Rfam family "Bacterial small subunit ribosomal RNA", at positions 190 to 826 of the family's 1533-position model. The record is from RNAcentral.